Molecule: ribosomal RNA, 320 nt
Filed under: Escherichia coli
Lineage: Bacteria; Pseudomonadati; Pseudomonadota; Gammaproteobacteria; Enterobacterales; Enterobacteriaceae
Description: bacterial SSU rRNA
Rfam family: Bacterial small subunit ribosomal RNA
Source: RNAcentral
UCAUGGCUCAGAUUGAACGCUGGCGGCAGGCCUAACACAUGCAAGUCGAACGGUAACAGGAAGCAGCUUGCUGCUUUGCUGACGAGUGGCGGACGGGUGAGUAAUGUCUGGGAAACUGCCUGAUGGAGGGGGAUAACUACUGGAAACGGUAGCUAAUACCGCAUAACGUCGCAAGACCAAAGAGGGGGACCUUCGGGCCUCUUGCCAUCGGAUGUGCCCAGAUGGGAUUAGCUUGUUGGUGGGGUAACGGCUCACCAAGGCGACGAUCCCUAGCUGGUCUGAGAGGAUGACCAGCCACACUGGAACUGAGACACGGUCCA